AACGCACCUUGCGCUCCUUGGUAUUCCUUGGAGCAUGCCUGUUUGAGUAUCAUGAAAUUCUCAAAGUAAACCUUUUGUUAAUUCAAUUGGUUCUGCUUUGGACUUGGAGGUCUUUUGCGGAUUAACAUCUGCUCCUCUUAAAUUUAUUAGCUGGAUCUCAGUAUAUGCUUGGUUCCACUCGGCGUGAUAAGUUAUCACUCGCUGAGGACACUGUAAAAGGUGGCCAGGAAAUACAGAUGAACCGCUUCUAAUAGUCUAUUAAAUUAGACAAUUAAUUUUAAGAUCUGAUCUCAAAUCAGGUAGGACUACCCGCUGAACUUAA
Molecule: unclassified non-coding RNA, 322 nt
Filed under: uncultured fungus
Lineage: Eukaryota; Fungi
Description: sequence contains ITS2
Source: RNAcentral